This 579-nucleotide ribosomal RNA is filed under the name Leptodontidium sp. bc_klng_20_1b. RNAcentral describes it as "eukaryotic LSU rRNA". The stretch from base 227 to 380 matches the Rfam family "5.8S ribosomal RNA". Lineage: Eukaryota; Fungi; Ascomycota; Leotiomycetes; Helotiales; Leptodontidiaceae. The record is from RNAcentral.
AAGGAUAUACAGCGCCCGCGGAGCUCGCUCCCGGGGCUACCCUACUCCCGUAGGGUUUAGAGUCGUCGGGCCUCUCGGAGAAGCUCGGUCCUGAACUCCACCCUUGAAUAAACUACCUUUGUUGCUUUGGCGGGCCGCCUCGUGCCAGCGGCUUCGGCUGUUGAGUGCCCGCCAGAGGACCCCAACUCUUGUUUUUAGUGAUGUCUGAGUACUAUAUAAUAGUUAAAACUUUCAACAACGGAUCUCUUGGUUCUGGCAUCGAUGAAGAACGCAGCGAAAUGCGAUAAGUAAUGUGAAUUGCAGAAUUCAGUGAAUCAUCGAAUCUUUGAACGCACAUUGCGCCCUCUGGUAUUCCGGGGGGCAUGCCUGUUCGAGCGUCAUUAUAACCACUCAAGCUCUCGCUUGGUAUUGGGGUUCGCGGUUUCGCGGCCCCUAAAAUCAGUGGCGGUGCCUGUCGGCUCUACGCGUAGUAAUACUCCUCGCGAUUGAGUCCGGUAGGUCUACUUGCCAGCAACCCCUAAUUUUUUUAAGGUUGACCUCGGAUCAGGUAGGGAUACCCGCUGAACUUAAGCAUAUCAA